GAUGAACGCUGGCGGCGGGCUUAACACAUGCAAGUCGAACGGCAGGGCCCUGCUUGCUUGCGGUGCUCGAUGGCCGAACGGGUACGUAACAGGAGAGUAUCCUGACCUUGACUUUGGGAUAACUUCAGGAAACUGGGGCUAAUACCGGAUAGGAGCUCCUGCUGCAUGGUGGGGGUGGGAAAGUCUAGGCGGUUGGGGAUGGACGCGCGGCUUAGCGGCUUGUUGGUCGGGGAGUGGCUUACCAAGGCUUUGACGGGUAGCCGGCCUGAGAGGGUGACCGGGCACCUGGGGACUGAGGUACGGGGCAGAGUCGUACGGGAGACAGCAGUGGGGAAGUUUGCCCAAUGGGCGCAAGUGUGAUGCAGCAACGCCGCGGUCGGGAUGACGGCCUGCGGGUAGUGAACCGCAGUCGGGUGUGACGAAGCGUGAGUGACGGUAACGAAUGAAGAAGCACCGGCUAACUACGUG
Molecule: ribosomal RNA, 468 nt
Filed under: uncultured bacterium
Lineage: Bacteria
Description: partial 16S ribosomal RNA
Rfam family: Bacterial small subunit ribosomal RNA
Source: RNAcentral